RNAcentral lists this ribosomal RNA (486 nucleotides) under Triticum aestivum (bread wheat). RNAcentral's name for it is "partial small subunit ribosomal RNA". Lineage: Eukaryota; Viridiplantae; Streptophyta; Magnoliopsida; Poales; Poaceae. The record is from RNAcentral.
AUGAGUGAUCCAGCUGCGAAUUCUUCCACUGUGGAAGGAAGCGAUCUCGUCGUAAAACCCGCCUCCCUGGUGACCAAGCCCGCUUCUUUAACCACAUCAACAGGCACCCCUGAAGUGGACAAGAAGAGGUCAUCGGGAGCUAUCAAUGACAAAGAUGUUGGGAUAACUGCAAAGAAGCCAAGGACGUCUGCUUGCAAUGUCUCCAGCAAAUCAAAUAAUCUAGAAGACUUUUAUUCCCCUGAGGCAAAGGAACUCCGUGUAUUAAUUGAGCAACACCAGAAUAUCCUUGCUGGAGAAAACACUCUGCUCGAGAAGCUCAAAGUCCCUCCAACAAGUAACAUCUCAACGCCAAGCCUUGUUCUCCCGCCCGGAAUAGCAGCAAAGUACAUCUCAAUAGGACUCAAAGAUAUACAAGAGGCGCUAAGGGAGCAGCCGAUCAAUGAGGAGCUAACCAUCACGAAAAUAGAAUCUACGAUAAGUAUGUAG